RNAcentral lists this ribosomal RNA (253 nucleotides) under uncultured bacterium. Its description in RNAcentral is "partial 16S ribosomal RNA". It matches the Rfam family "Bacterial small subunit ribosomal RNA", at positions 524 to 776 of the family's 1533-position model. The record is from RNAcentral.
UACGUAGGGGGCAAGCGUUGUCCGGAUUUAUUGGGCGUAAAGAGCGUGUAGGCGGCCAGAUAGGUCCGUUGUGAAAACUCGAGGCUCAACCUCGAGACGCCGAUGGAAACCGUCUGGCUAGAGUCCGGAAGAGGAGAGUGGAAUUCCUGGUGUAGCGGUGAAAUGCGCAGAUAUCAGGAAGAACACCCGUGGCUAAGGCGGCUCUCUAGUACGGUACUGACGCUGAGACGCGAAAGCGUGGGGAGCGAACAGG